Molecule: ribosomal RNA, 253 nt
Filed under: uncultured bacterium
Lineage: Bacteria
Description: partial 16S ribosomal RNA
Rfam family: Bacterial small subunit ribosomal RNA
Source: RNAcentral
UACGUAGGGGGCAAGCGUUGUCCGGAUUUAUUGGGCGUAAAGAGCGUGUAGGCGGCCAGGUAGGUCUGCUGUGAAAACUCGAGGCUCAACCUCGAGACGUCGGCGGAAACCAUCUGGCUAGAGUCCGGAAGAGGAGAAUGGAAUUCCCGGUGUAGCGGUGAAAUGCGCAGAUAUCGGGAAGAACACCCGUGGCGAAGGCGGUUCUCUGGGACGGUACUGACGCUGAGACGCGAAAGCGUGGGGAGCGAACAGG